GAUGAACGCUGGCGGCGUGCUUAACACAUGCAAGUCGAACGAAGCAUUUAGGACAGAUUACUUCGGUUUGAAGUUCUUUAUGACUGAGUGGCGGACGGGUGAGUAACGCGUGGGUAACCUGCCUUGUACUGGGGGAUAGCAGCUGGAAACGGCUGGUAAUACCGCAUAAGCGCCCAAUGUUGCAUGACAUGGUGUGAAAAACUCCGGUGGUAUAAGAUGGACCCGCGUCUGAUUAGCUAGUUGGUGAGAUAACAGCCACCAAGGCGACGAUCAGUAGCCGACCUGAGAGGGUGACCGGCCACAUUGGGACUGAGACACGGCCCAGACUCCUACGGGAGGCAGCAGUGGGGAAUAUUGCACAAUGGAGGAAACUCUGAUGCAGCGACGCCGCGUGAGUGAAGAAGUAAUUCGUUAUGUAAAGCUCUAUCAGCAGGGAAGAUAGUGACGGUACCUGACUAAGAAGCUCCGGCUAAAUACGUG
Molecule: ribosomal RNA, 480 nt
Filed under: uncultured bacterium
Lineage: Bacteria
Description: partial 16S ribosomal RNA
Rfam family: Bacterial small subunit ribosomal RNA
Source: RNAcentral